RNAcentral lists this transfer RNA (51 nucleotides) under Hyalella cajasi. Its description in RNAcentral is "tRNA-Val". Lineage: Eukaryota; Metazoa; Arthropoda; Malacostraca; Amphipoda; Hyalellidae. The record is from RNAcentral.
UAAAGUGAAUUUACUCGUUUACACUGAGAUUUACCUUAUUAGGCGCUUUAU